AGGACGAACGCUGGCGGCGUGCUUAACACAUGCAAGUCGAGCGGAAAGGCCCUUCGGGGUACUCGAGCGGCGAACGGGUGAGUAACACGUGAGCAACCUGCCCCUGGCUCUGGGAUAGCCUCCGGAAACGGGGAUUAAUACCGGAUAUUCACUGUCUCCUGCAUGGGGGGUGGUGGAAAGUUUUUCGGCUAGGGAUGGACUCGCGGCCUAUCAGCUAGUUGGUGAGGUAACGGCCCACCAAGGCGACGACGGGUA
This 255-nucleotide ribosomal RNA is filed under the name uncultured bacterium. Its description in RNAcentral is "partial small subunit ribosomal RNA". It matches the Rfam family "Bacterial small subunit ribosomal RNA", at positions 26 to 285 of the family's 1533-position model. The record is from RNAcentral.